RNAcentral lists this long non-coding RNA (9089 nucleotides) under Homo sapiens (human). RNAcentral's name for it is "PREDICTED lncRNA (TCONS_00066733)". The record is from RNAcentral. Lineage: Eukaryota; Metazoa; Chordata; Mammalia; Primates; Hominidae.
CCAACAUUAUUUUUGUGCAGAUUUCAAUUCAUGCUGCACUCAUCCUGGGGGCAAAAGUUAAAGGUUUUCUAAAAAGCUACUUAGUGAAUGUCUUAGUUAAUGGAAAAGAAAAUAAGUCAAUCCUUUUUUUUCUAACCUUGAAGUUGCAAAGAUUGACAAUGAACUCUGUAAUGGUGCAUUCUCCUCUUGUGUGGUUUUUGAAAGCUGAGUUAUCCUUCCUGUAAUGAUUCUGCACCUGCAAACUAUACGUGGCUUCCUCCAGGCAGUAAAUCUACAGCCCAGGCUCCCUGCAUCUUAUGGCUCCAAUCACUUUGGAUCUCAUCGUCGCCUGCACAUUGCCAUACACAGGGAAGGAGAAGAGAUGGAGAAGGCAAAGACUUUCUGAAAGCCGUGGCUAAAAGCUGGCAUGUGUCACAUCAGCUCACAUUCCAUUGUAGAGACGGGGUUUCACCGUGUUAGCCAGGAUGGUCUUGAUAUCCUGACCUCGUGAUCCGCCCGCCUUGGCUUCCCAAAGUGCUGGGAUUACAGGCGUGAGCCACCGCUCCCGGCCUGGCAGGCAUUCUUGAGGCAAACGGGAAAUGGGGUAAGUUACACAAUCGAUACAGCUCCGUCAUCGUGGUUUAAUUACUUUUCCACGUACCAUGUUUCCUGACAGGUAGAACGAUCAGCCUGGGCCUCCGUUUUUCAUUCUACAAAGAAUGAAGUGCAUGAACUGUCCUCUAUAGAAUUGUGGAAAAAGUUGUUUUUAUUGAGUUGUGGUUAUCUUUGUCUUCAUGGUCUAAUUACGGAAAUAAAUGCUUUUCCGAGUCUCCGGGGAUGGUCUGCCCUAGUCCAGCUCUCUGCAGUGUCUUUCUGGGUUUUUCCUCAGUGAACGGGAGGAACAUUGGCAGCACUUGUGGUCUGCACCAAGAACUGAAUCGAAUUUCCAUGUGUUAUUGAAUGUUCACAAAGACCUUGUACAGCGAGUGUUACUACCUCUGGUCAAUGAUUCAACUCAAGGCUCAGAAAAGUCAAGUGUCUUGUCCAGGGACACUUAGUCAGAAGUGAAUCCAAGGUUUAAGCUCAAGUCUGCCUAACUCUGAAUUUCACAGCCUUUUGCUACAUAUGGCGAAUAAUAUAUCCCUGAGCACUAAAGGCAGACUCCAAGGAUCUUGUCUCUGCAAUCAUCAUUCUGGCCAUAAUUUAUGAAAAGCAACCCAAAGUAUGUGAUGUAAUAAAAAGUACUAUCUAUGAGUUUACCCUUCCAAAAAUUGAACUGAAUUCUGAGCUCUAAAUUUGGAAUCAAAAGAACUUUUCUCUGCACUAAUCAUUUGGAACAUCACUUAAAGAAAACAACGAAAAACUGGUGUCCCCUGAGAGAAAGCAAUACAAAACAUUAUGCAUAAAGAAAUCCUUCCAAAAAAUAAACCAAAUCCAGUCAAAUCUCUAGUUUUGACUCCUAGCUUACCGGAAAUACGUGAUGGGAAAAAAAUGAAAUGACACCACUAUGAUUCAAUCAGCCAAAUCCAGCAUAUGCAAAUUUCUACCAGAUAAAUGGUUUAGUUUCUUCCCCAAACAAAUGGCACAAGGAAACGGAGGUAAGAAUGGGAUGCUGUUAUAGAUUUUAAAAGAUUUAAGAAAGUAUAAACUAAAUACACUAUGUGCAUCCUCUCUGAACGUGCUUCAAACAUAUCAAGGGGUCAAUGAGCAGUUUUGAAACAAUAAGGGAAUUUGAACACUGAAUGGUUGUCAGAAGAUAGUAAGAGAUCAUUAUUAAUUUUACUAGACAUAAUGAUGUUCUGAUUUUGUUUUUUUUUUAAAAAAAAAACAGUGUUAUUUCCUUUAUAGAUACAUCAUAUAGUAUUAACUAAUGAAAUGCUUUGAUAUCUGGAACGUUUAAAAAAUAUUCCCGAUGGAGUAAGUGCAAAGAAACAGGUAAGCAAAAUGCUGAUAAUUGCUGAAACACAGGAUGUGUACCUGGGGCUUCAUUUACUAUCUCUUCAUUUUCUAUUUUGAUAUUUGUUGGACAUUCUCAUAAAAAGGAAAGUUAUGUUUUAUUUUCUCAUAAGCUAGUAAUGAAAUAGCCCUACGUAACUGAUAUUGUAGAGACAAGAAUAGGUGUAAUAGAGCUUAAGGUUUUCAUUUAAAAAACUAUCUGUAGACUUCAAUGGAUCUUAGGUGGCAUCCAUGCAAUAACACUCGUGGAACAUGCAGGACAGGUGUGGAGCUCCAUCUUCACACAGUGACAUUUUUUAUGCUUCUGUUUUCCCUAAGAGUGGAGUGAGAGGAUGAUUAUUUUAUAUCAUGGACUUCUUCCCUGCUAUACUUUUUUUAAUUAUUUUACUUUCACUUCUGGGAUACAUGUGCUGAGCAUGCAGGCUUGUUUACAUAGGUAUACAUCUGCCAUGGUGGUUUGCUGCACCUAUCAACCCAUCAUACAGGUUUUAAGCCCUGCAUGCAUUAGGUAUUCGCCCUAAUGCUCUCCCUCGCCUUUCCCCCCACCCCCUGAUAGCCCCCAGUGAGUCAUAUUCCCCUCCCUGUGUCCAUGUGUUCUCAUUGUUCAACUCCCAUUUAUGAGUGAGAAUAUGUGGUGUUUAGUUUUCUGUUCCUGUGUUAGUUUGCUGAGAAUGAUGUUUUCCAGCUUCAUCCAUGUCCCUGAAAAGGACAUGAGCUCAUUCUUUUUUAUGGCUGCAUAGUAUUCCACGGUGUUAUAUGUGCCACAUUUUCUUAAUCCAGUCUGUCAUUGAUGGACAUUUGGGUUGUUUCCAAGUCUUUGCUAUUGUAAAUAGUGCUGCAAUAAACAUAUGUGUGCAUGUGUCUUUGUAGUAGAAUGAUUUAUAAUCCUUUGGGUAUAUGCCCAGUAAUGGGACUGAUGGGUCAAAUGGUAUUUCUGGUUCUAGAUCCUUGAGGAAUUGCCACACUGUCUUCCACAAUGGUUGAACUAAUUUAUACUCCCACCAACAGGGUAAAAGCAUUCCUAUUUCUCCACAUCCUCUCCAGCAUCUGUUGUUUCCAAAUGUUUUAAUGAUUGCCAUUCCACCUGGCGUGAGAUGGUAUCUCAUUGUGGUUUUGAUUUUCAUUUCUCUAAUGACCAGUGAUGAUAAGCUUUUUUUCAUAUGUUUGUUGGCCACAUAAAUGUCUUCUUUUGACUUUUAUGUGGAAACAAAUUUAACUGCACAGAGAGGUGAAAAUUAAUUAAUAACUUUUAAAGUAAUUCCCUAAGUUUCUAAGGAUCUAUAUGUUUCCAUCUGACUUUAUUUUAUUUAAGCUCUUGAUUGAUGCUGCAUUUGGAGCAGGUUCAUGAACAUGAAUAGAGUUAAUCUGGGACAGAUUUCCCUCAUUUGAUUUUUUCACUGUUUCCAUCACAGAACUUAUUUCAUGCUCACCAUGUUUGCAGGCAUUGAGCUUGGUACUGGAGCCACAGAGCUGGAUCAGACAGACUUGUGCAAAUAUUUCAGGUUUUUUUUGUGGGGGGGUCAUAUUUAUAGAUAAAUAACAGUAAAGAGUGACGGGUUCUUAUGAAAAUGCAUACACAGUGAAGUAGAGGGUGAAAAGGAGGGAUGUGUUCUAUGAGGAGGAAGAGUGAUAAGAAAGUGUAAGGGGAUGUGUCUGUGUCUAGACAUAUGUGUGUUCACGUGUGUGCGUGCUUGUGUGUACUGCAUGUGUAUAUGUGUGGCCAUGCACCUGUGUGCAUGUUCAUGUGUGUGUGUGUAUGUGUCUGUGUUGAGGACUAAAUUAAUUGGGCUUAUGGAAGCAGGGAGCCACUGAUAGGUUUAAUUAGAGACUGACAUGAUAUGAUAGUUUAGGUGGAUUUCUCUGGGGGCUGUGUUGAGGGACAGUGGGGAGGAGAGCUAGAAGGAAGAAAAGGACACAUGCAUAACAGAAGCAAUAUCUGUCUAUGGGAUGGUGGAAAGAAUCAGAAAAGACUUAAUAAAACAUGUGACACUUUAACUGAAUCUUGAAAUAGACAAGUGUUGGAGGAGGGAGUUGGACCAGAUACUUCAUGCAAAGGGAAGAAAAGUGCACAAACAAAAUAUGAGAAACAAGGCAGACAGGCAUUUUUUUAAAAUUUUCGCACCCACUGAUAGACCAGUGAUGCAUUCACAUCGUCUGCAUUCAUGAUCAACAAAAGUGCUUUCCUAGAACAUGAACCUCAACCCAAGUGUCGCCUCAAGUAGUGUAUGCAUGAACUCAAGCAUUAAAUUAGAAUUGAUUUUUUAAAAAACUCACACAAACAGAUGUAUUAUUUAAAAAUCUUUAAAGCAGGUUUAAACAGUUUUCAGGAUUAAAAGCAGCCACUAUUAGAAAGAACAAAAAUACAUUUGACAUAAAUAUAAGGAGCCUCAAUAGAACCUCCUGUACCCAGUCAUUGUCAAUGCCACAUCCAUUCAUUCACCAGCCCUUAUAUCAAUGCUUGCUGGGCUCACUUACCACGAUCAGCACGUGCAUGUCCUUAUCUGAAAGCUUGCCACUCAAAUGUGCUCAGUCUUACCUGUGUGGCUGGGAGUGUUGGGGAUUUAAUGUCAAGGGAAAGAAUCUUCCAUCAAUGAAUGAUGAAAGUUAGUUUUCACAACUUCCGGUCCCCUUGGCCCUCAUCAAAGGGCUCCAGGUGAGGUUUGGGCUCCUUGCUAUCCUCCGAGUUUCCACGGUAGUUUUAAGCACCAUUGCCCGUGGUAAUGGCUGACAUUGAUACUGCACUUUUUUUUUAUUUAAGAUGGAGUUCCCCUCUGCCACCCAGACUGGAGUACAGUGGCGCGAUCCUGGCCAUCGCAACCUCCGCCUCCCAGGUUCAAGCGAUUCUCCUGCCUCAGUCUCUCAAGUAGCUGGGAUAUGGGCACCUGUCACCAUGCCCAGCUAAUUUUUUUAAAAUUUAUUUUUAGUAGAGAUGGGGUUUCACCAUGUUGGCCAGGCUGGUCUCGAACUCCUGACCUCAGGUGAUCCACCCACACUUUUUAUUGUUUGCCUACACUUUCUAGACUUGCUUCAUCAGCCUACUCCGUUUCUGGUUGAUAUGGUUUGGUUGUGUCCCCACUCAAAUCUUAUCUAGAAGUGUAAUCCCCAAGUCUCAAGGGAGGGACCUGGUGUGAGGUGAUUGGAUUGGGGGGUGGUUCCCGCCAUGCUGUUCUCAUGAUAGUGAGUGAGUUCUCAUGAGAUCUGAUGGUUUUAUAAGGCAGUUUUCCCUAUUCUUGCUCACUCUUCUCUCUCUUUCUGCCAUGUGAAGAAGGUCCUUGCUUCCCCUUCACCUUCUACCAUGAUUGUAAGUUUCCUGAGGCCUCCCCUCAGCCAUGCACAACUGUGAGUCAAUUAAACCUCUUUCCUUUAUAAAUUACUCAGUCUCAGGUCGUAUCUUUAUAGCAGUAUGAGAAUGGACUAAUACACUGGUCUAUCCUUCAUCCAAAUUAACUACCUGCACUGCAGUCCUUGUCUCAGGCUCUGCUUUGAGGGACCCCAACUGUGACAGCCGCAUUAGAAUGCAUCACAUACUGCAGUGAAAUUCUAGAGUGGGUGUUGUCAGGUGGUGAUGAUUGUUAGAUAUGUCAGUCUGUUUUCAGGCUGCUGAUAAAGACAUACCUGAGACUGGGUAAUUUAUAAAGGAAAAGGAGGUUUAAUGGACUCACAGUUCCACAUGGCUAGGGAGGCCUCACAAUCAUGGCAGAAGGUGAAAGGCACGGCUUACAGGGUGGCAGCAAGAGAGGAAAUGAGAACCAAGUGAAAAGGUUUCUGCUUAUAAAACCAUCAGCUCUUGUGAGACUUAUUCAUUACAAUGAGAACAAUAUGGGGGAAACUGCCCCCAUGAUUCAAUUAUCUCCCACCAGAUCCCUCCUACAACACAUGAGAAUUGUGGGUGCUACAAUUCAAGAUGAGAUUUGAGUGGGGACAAAGUCAAACCAUAUCAUUAGAUAGGACACUGGAGAAAGGCAAGAAAGAAAAGACAUCUGAAGAAUGAAGGGAGCCAAAGAAAUGCCAACAUUUUGCUUUUUGAAGAAAAGCUAAAUUAAAGUCAAAAUGGAUUUAUCAAUUUCCUUGGGUUCGUGAAUGUACAGAACUUUAUUAAGGUAAGUCAAAACUUCUCUUUUUAUACUUAACCCAACUCAAAUUGGCUUAUGUAGGGGAAACAAGAAAUCAAAACCCAAAGGAACAUGCCAGUUCAGGAAUAUACAGUUAGCUAAGCUUCUUACUGAACAAAUAAAAUCACAAAGCAUGUAUGCAGAUAGACCACAAGUGACUAUAGUGAGGUAGUUUAUUUCAGCUCUAUUUAUCUGGAAUUAAUGCUACACCAUCUGACAUAUUAAGCAGUUAUGCAUCAGGUAUCAGUAGUUACAUCUUCCAGUGCCUCUUACAGUUGCCCCUGAUGGUAUAUCUACUCGAAAGUAUGUAAGUGCACUCACAUUCUUCAACAUUUCCUCAUUAAAGCCAGAUGGAAUUGGGCUUCUUAUACUUGCUAUUCAUUCAUUUAAUAUUAUUAGAGUGUCUACCAUGUAGUAGGCAUUUUCUGUAAAUGCUGGGGAUAUCUUGAUAACAAAGACAAAACCUUUCCCCACAUAGAUCUUAAAUUUUAGUGCGAAGAGAAAGACAAUGACUAUUUUGAAGUUACGAAGGGGAUUUGCUGAUUUGAAUGCCUACUUAGGAGAUUCAGAAGUGGUUGGAUUUAGGUGCUUAGAUUAAGUCAUCAGGAAUUUCCACCUUCUACCCAUAACAGUGAGCAUCUGAAACUUACAAAACAAUAUUUCCUAUUUUACUUCAUUUUAUUUUAGAGACAGGGUCUUGCCUGUUGCUCAGUCUGGAAUGCAGUGGCACAAUCAUAGCUCACUGCAGCCUCAAUUUCCUGGGCUCAAGGGAUCCUCCCAAAGUGCUGGGAUUACAGGUAUAAGCCACCAUGCCCGGCCAAGAUACUCUAUUUUUAAUUUACAGUUUAUAUCAAGACACUGAGCCAGGGGAAUUUGAAGUCACCCAUCCAGUGGUCUUAGCAUCUUUGCUCACACACUGAAUGACUUGAUGUAAAUGACUGAAUCAGACUUGUUUGCUUAUAGCUGACACCACCGAGCAAACAUAUUCUCUCUUUCUCUGGGACAACACCUGAUAUGGUCUGGCUCUGUGUCCCCACCCACAUCUCAUCUUAAAUUGUAAUCCAAAUUGUAAUCCCCACAUGUUGGGGGAGGGACCUCAUGGGAAGUGAUUGGAUCAUGGUGGUGGUUCCCCCUGUGCUAUUCUCGUGAAAGUGAGUGAGUUCUCAUGAGAUCUGAUGGUUUUAUAAGGGGCUCUUCCCCCUUCAUUUUGCACUUCUGUCUCCUGCUGCCUUGUGAAGAAGGACAUGUUUGCUUCCCCUUCCACCAUGAUUGUAAGUUUCCUGAGGCCUCCCCAGCCAUGCCAAACUGUGAGUUAAUUAAACCUCUUUCCUUUAUAAAUUAUCCAGUCUCGGGUAUUUCUUUAUAGCAGCAUGAAAAUGGACUAAUACAGCACCUAUCUCCCAGUAUUGUAUUUUCACAAUGGAAGUUUUAAUCCAGGGAUGUCUAAUCUUGUGGCUUCCUAGGCCACACUGGAAGAAGAAUUGUCUUGGGCCACACAUAAAAUACACUAACACUAAUGAUAGCUGAGAAGCUAAAGAAAAAUCACAAAUAAAUCUUACAAUGUUUCAAGAAAGUUUACGAAUUUGUAUUGGGCUAUCCUGGGCUGCGUGCAGCCAUGGGCUAUGGGUUGGACAAGCUUGGUUUAAUCCAUAGAUGGAGCAUUCUACACAGCUCCCUUAAAGAUGUUCCAGAAGUGCUGACUCUGUGUCAGGCACCAUGUUCACCACUUAGAUGUUCGUUUAAUCCUUACAAAAGAGCCAUGGAGCAUGGACUGUUACUGUGGCAGAUGUGUUAGCCUCCUGUGGUUGCCAUAACAAAAUACUACAAACUGCGUGGCUUAAAACACCAGGAAUUUAUUCUCACUGUUCUAAAAGACGGAAGUCCGAAAUCCAGGAGUCAACAGGGCUGUGCUCCUUUUUGAGGCUCUAGGGAAGAAUACUUCCUCCCCUCUUCCAGCUUCUGCUGGCCACAGGUGUUCCUCGGCUUGUGGCCACAUCACUCCAAUUGCUGCCUCCAUCCCACAUAGCCUUCUUCCCUAUGUGUGUGUUCUCACAUGGUCUUUGUAUAAGGAUAUCAGUUAUGGGAUUUAGUUCCUACCAUAAUCCAUCAUGAACUCUACUGCACUAAUUACGUCUACAAAGGCCUUAUUGCCAAAUAAGGUCACAUUCUGGGGUUUCAGGUGAAUAUAAAUUUUGGAAGGACACUAUUCAACCCAGUACAACAAGUAAAAUUUAAAAAGGCACCCUUUUACCUUGGCAUGUUAUCUCACUUGAUUUUUAUAACAGCCCUGUAGAUUAAACAGAUAAUAUGUUAUAUUCCCACUUCUAGAUAUCAUCACCCAUUAUUUGAGAGAAUGGAAAUGAAGUUCAGGGCUGUUAACACUCCUGCCACUGAAACAUCCCAGGCCAGUGACCUUUUCAUGUCUGACCUAACAGGUGGUUUCCAACCACAGUUACUUGUGACAUCAUUCCAUCACUCCCCAUACACAUUCCCUGUAGAUCAACUUAUCUGGCCCUACAAUUAUAGUUACAGGGAAUUUUACAUUCUUCAUCUUCCACAGGCAACUGAAUCUUCUGGGACAAAAAGCAUAUGUUCUCCCAUAGUAAUAAAAUUUCCCUUUUUUAGCCUGGCAUGUGACUGCCAAUAAUAACACUUCCCAGACUCUCAGGUGUCCACGUCUAUCCAAAGGGAAAUAUAGUCAGUGAUAACUUCCAGACAUAGAUGAAACAUGCCACACCUUAUAGUCACUUUAUGGGGUUCAUUCUCUCUUCCCAUAGACUGUCAUGCUGUCAUCAUGGCUGGAUCUGAUACGGCCACCGUGGACCUUGAGGUGACCUCGGGAAUGGAGACAGUGCAUGGGAGAGAAUCACAUUGGAAGGGGCCUGGGUUUCUGAAGACCCUGUAAGACAGAUCUCCUUGCAGCCCUGACUGCCCACAUUAGGGCUUUUAUGUUAGGGUGAAGUUACCUUGCAUUGUCAUAUAAGCAAUUGCUAUUUGUGGUGUCUUGCAAAUAAACCUAUUCUGAUCUAGUAUGUUUCCUAA